AAUCAAUGAUGAACCUAUCCCGAACCUGAUUUCUUGAUGAAAAAACUUAACAUACGGAUCUGGCUUCUGAGAA
Small nucleolar RNA from Phascolarctos cinereus (koala), 73 nucleotides. The record is from Ensembl. Lineage: Eukaryota; Metazoa; Chordata; Mammalia; Diprotodontia; Phascolarctidae.